Pelodiscus sinensis (Chinese soft-shelled turtle) is the source of this 71-nucleotide non-coding RNA. Lineage: Eukaryota; Metazoa; Chordata; Testudines; Trionychidae. The record is from Ensembl.
UAGAAUAUAAUAUAAUGGGAGUAUAAAGAGUUUUGAUCUCUUAGGUGUAGGUUCAAGUCCUAUUUUUCUAA